RNAcentral lists this non-coding RNA (148 nucleotides) under Nomascus leucogenys (northern white-cheeked gibbon). The record is from Rfam by way of RNAcentral. Lineage: Eukaryota; Metazoa; Chordata; Mammalia; Primates; Hylobatidae.
GCCGGGUGUGGUGGUGCAUGCCUGUAAUCCCAGCUACUCGGGAGGCUGAGGCAGGAGAAUCACUUGAACCCGGGAGAUGAAGAUUGCAGUGAGCCAAGGUCAUGCCACUGCACUCCAGCUUGGGUGACAAAGCGAGACUCUGUCUCAA